RNAcentral lists this small nucleolar RNA (100 nucleotides) under Sclerotinia borealis F-4128. Its description in RNAcentral is "Small nucleolar RNA Z13/snr52". It matches the Rfam family "Small nucleolar RNA Z13/snr52". Rfam says of the family: Z13 or snr52 is a member of the C/D class of snoRNA which contain the C (UGAUGA) and D (CUGA) box motifs. Most of the members of the box C/D family function in directing site-specific 2'-O-methylation of substrate RNAs. The record is from Rfam by way of RNAcentral. Lineage: Eukaryota; Fungi; Ascomycota; Leotiomycetes; Helotiales; Sclerotiniaceae.
AAAUUCAAUAUGAUGAAAAAUUCCGGAUGUUAAACACAUUAUACUCCGAGAGCGCAAAACCGUGUGGAGAUUUCCGUUGCCUUCCUUCUGAUUGUCUAUC